Molecule: long non-coding RNA, 145 nt
Organism: Macaca mulatta (Rhesus monkey)
Lineage: Eukaryota; Metazoa; Chordata; Mammalia; Primates; Cercopithecidae
Source: RefSeq, a predicted model, not a curated record
GAGGGUGUCGGGCCAUGGGUGCUUCUGGGUGUAGGGGGCUCAGAUGAAGAGCCGGUGCUCCUGAGCUUCCUGGGGCUUGGACCUCUGCUUCGUGACCAGCUGGGCAGGCCUGCGGCUGGCUCCAAGGAAGCUGCUGAGACAGGGA